This 253-nucleotide ribosomal RNA is filed under the name uncultured bacterium. Its description in RNAcentral is "partial 16S ribosomal RNA". It matches the Rfam family "Bacterial small subunit ribosomal RNA", at positions 524 to 776 of the family's 1533-position model. The record is from RNAcentral.
GACGGAGGAUGCAAGCGUUAUCCGGAAUUAUUGGGCGUAAAGCGUACGUAGGCUGUUUUAUAAGUCUGUUGUCAAAGACUGAGGCUUAACCUUGGGAAGGCAAUGGAAACUGUAAGGCUAGAGAGAGAUAGGGGCAGGAGGAAUUCCAGGUGUAGCGGUGAAAUGCGUAGAUAUCUGGAAGAACACCAGUGGCGAAAGCGUCCUGCUGGGUCUCAACUGACGCUGAAGUACGAAAGCUAGGGGAGCGAAUGGG